This is a long non-coding RNA of Amphibalanus amphitrite, 388 nucleotides long. RefSeq lists it as uncharacterized. The transcript is spliced from 2 exons. The record is from RefSeq and is a predicted model, not a curated record. Lineage: Eukaryota; Metazoa; Arthropoda; Thecostraca; Balanomorpha; Balanidae.
UUUCGUUCCCCGCCAUGAUUGGAGGCGGAUGUGUUGCGGGUGCUCCGGAUUUUGGUACCGGUGAGUGAGGUUCUAGAGGUUUGUAACUGCUGAAUCUAAUAUUGUAACUUCUCAAUUGAAUUUAUGUGAUGAAUAUUCGUUUUUGUUGUAUAACUUUAAUGUGAAAACCGGUUUACAUGAGCUGAUAUGUUCGAUUCUCCGGGACAGUGGCUCGGUUGCCCCCGAUUCGGGGAGGACAAGCUGUGGAGCUUGUUUGUGGAGGCUGCCCUGGUGGCCUCGUGAGUUCGGUCGCCGUGGUCGUUUGGCAGCGCGCCAGAGACGGGAUAAGCCGUAACAAUCGAAUGAUCGAAGACGGGAUCCAGAGCGGUCCAAUACAGAUCUGUCCACG